Molecule: ribosomal RNA, 498 nt
Filed under: uncultured bacterium
Lineage: Bacteria
Description: partial 16S ribosomal RNA
Rfam family: Bacterial small subunit ribosomal RNA
Source: RNAcentral
GAUGAACGCUGGCGGCGUGCCUAAUACAUGCAAGUCGAGCGAACAGACGAGAGUGCUUGCACUCUCUGACGUUAGCGGCGGACGGGUGAGUAACACGUGGGUAACCUACCUAUAAGACUGGGAUAACUUCGGGAAACCGGAGCUAAUACCGGAUAAUAUUUAGCUUCGCAUGAAGCAAUAGUGAAAGACGGUUCUGCUGUCACUUAUAGAUGGACCCGCGGUGUAUUAGCUAGUUGGUGAGGUAACGGCUCACCAAGGCAACGAUACAUAGCCGACCUGAGAGGGUGAUCGGCCACACUGGGACUGAGACACGGCCCAGACGCCUACGGGAGGCAGCAGUAGGGAAUCUUCCGCAAUGGACGAAAGUCUGACGGAGCAAUGCCGCGUGAGUGAAGAGGUUUUCGGAUCGUAAAACUCUGUUGUAAGGGAAGAACAAGUACGUUAGUAACUGAACGUACCUUGACGGUACCUUACCAGAAAGCCACGGCUAACUACGUG